AAUCUUCCGCAAUGGACGAAAGUCUGACGGAGCAACGCCGCGUGAGCGAUGAAGGCCUUCGGGUCGUAAAGCUCUGUUGUCAGGGAAGAACAAGUACCGGAGUAACUGCCGGUACCUUGACGGUACCUGACCAGAAAGCCACGGCUAACUACGUGCCAGCAGCCGCGGUAAUACGUAGGUGGCAAGCGUUGUCCGGAAUUAUUGGGCGUAAAGCGCGCGCAGGCGGUUCCUUAAGUCUGAUGUGAAAGCCCCCGGCUCAACCGGGGAGGGUCAUUGGAAACUGGGGAACUUGAGUGCAGAAGAGGAGAGCGGAGUUCCACGUGUAGCGGUGAAAUGCGUAGAGAUGUGGAGGAACACCAGUGGCGAAGGCGGCUCUCUGGUCUGUAACUGACGCUGAGGCGCGAAAGUGUGGGGAUCAAACAGG
This 424-nucleotide ribosomal RNA is filed under the name uncultured bacterium. RNAcentral describes it as "bacterial SSU rRNA". It matches the Rfam family "Bacterial small subunit ribosomal RNA", at positions 360 to 776 of the family's 1533-position model. The record is from RNAcentral.